This 1216-nucleotide ribosomal RNA is filed under the name metagenome. Its description in RNAcentral is "bacterial LSU rRNA". It matches the Rfam family "Bacterial large subunit ribosomal RNA", at positions 1581 to 2808 of the family's 2925-position model. The record is from RNAcentral.
GGCGUCGAAGUAGUGUAUGUCAUGCUUCCAAGAAAAGCUUGCAAUGUCAUAAAUAAUAAAUGCCUGUACCAUAACCGACACAGGUGGGUAAGUAGAGUAUACUAAGGGGCGCGAGAUAACUCUCUCUAAGGAACUCGGCAAAAUAACUCCGUAACUUCGGGAGAAGGAGUGCCUUAUUCUUAAGGUUGCAAUAACAAGAUCCAAGCAACUGUUUAUCAAAAACACAGGUCUCCGCUAAGUCGUAAGACGAUGUAUGGGGGCUGACGCCUGCCCAGUGCCAGAAGGUUAAAGAAGUCGGUUAGCAAUUGCGAAGCUGGUAACUGAAGCCCUGGUGAACGGCGGCCGUAACUAUAACGGUCCUAAGGUAGCGAAAUUCCUUGUCGGGUAAGUUCCGACCCGCACGAAAGGCGUAAUGAUUUGGAUGCUGUCUCGGAGAGGGGCUCGGUGAAAUAGACUUGUCUGUGAAGAUGCGGACUACCUGCACCAGGACAGAAAGACCCUAUGAAGCUUUACUGUAACUUGAAAUUGAAAUUGGACUUUAUUCGCGCAGUAUAGGUGGGAGGCGUUGAUUAUAAUCUUGCGGGAUUAUCGGAGCCAUCAGUGAGAUACCACUCUUCUAAUGUUAGAUUUCUAACUUUGAAUCAUUAUCUGGUCAAAGGACAAUUUCAGGCGGGCAGUUUGACUGGGGCGGUCGCCUCCUAAAUGGUAACGGAGGCGUACAAAGGUUUCCUCUGAACGGUUAGAAAUCGUAUCUAGAGUGUAAAGGCAUAAGGAAGCUUGACUGUGAGACCUACAAGUCGAGCAGGGACGAAAGUCGGUCUUAGCGAUCUGACGGUACUGAGUGGAAAGGCCGUCACUCAACGGAUAAAAGUUACUCUAAGGAUAACAGGCUGAUCUCCCCCAAGAGUUCACAUCGACGGGGAGGUUUGGCACCUCGAUGUCGGCUCAUCGCAUCCUGGGGCGGUAGUACGUCCCAAGGGUUGGGCUGUUCGCCCAUGAAAGCGGUACGCGAGCUGGGUUCAGAACGUCGUGAGACAGUUCGGUCCAUCCGGUGUAGGCGUUAGAAUAUUGAGAGGAGCCUUCUUUAGUACGAGAGGACCGAGAAGGACAUACCUCUGGUGUACCAGUUAUCGUGCCAACGGUAAACGCUGGGUAGCUAUGUAUGGAGUGGAUAACCGCUGAAAGCAUCUAAGUGGGAAGCCCACCUCAAGAUAAG